Non-coding RNA from Delphinapterus leucas (beluga whale), 701 nucleotides. NCBI's taxonomy places the organism in Eukaryota, Metazoa, Chordata, Mammalia, Artiodactyla, Monodontidae. The record is from RefSeq and is a predicted model, not a curated record.
AAUCCCAUUGUUUUCUCCCUUUGAAAGGUGGUUAUUUUAUCAGGGAGGCAUCCCCUCCUGCAGCUGUUCAGGCGUUGCCUUACUGCACUUCUCUCUUCAGUUUUGAAAUAUUAUUUCCUUCUUGCUUAAAUGCCACGCAGGUAAAAACUUUUGUUGAUGGGAAAUGGCAUCGUGGGUGAGGGCGUUGUUUCUUGCCCAACUUCCUGGGCUCUCUCCUGGGUGGUGAAGGCUGAUGGUGAGAACGGGUGCGACUCUGGACGCUUGCCUGUAUUUUUCUGAAGGAGUCUUGAGCUCUGAGUGUCAACCAGCAGCUGCGGAGGCAAACGCUUAUCUGUUUAUUUCCUAACAUAUUGUGCUGUUAAUCUCAACUCAACUGUCUACCAGUGGAACUGCUCUUGAGCACAGGCUCCGGACGCGCAGGCUCAGCGGCCAUGGCUCACAGGCCCAGCCGCUCCGCGCCAUGUGGGAUGUUCCCGGACUGGGGCACGAACCCGCAUCCCCUGCAUCAGCAGGUGGACUCUCAACCACUGCGCCACCAGGGAAGCCCUACGGGGGCAUUCUUGAUCCAGGUGCUGAUCUCGGGGCUGGGGGAAGAGACGAUUAGCGGCCACCGUGGAGCAGUAGAUAAUUGUGACCCCGUGCUUCUGCCAUCUUCCUGUCCCCACACUUGUCACUAAUAUAUUGCGUUGUUCAUUUUGCCA